GGGUUGUGAGGUUAAGCGACUAAGCGUACACGGUGGAUGCCCUGGCAGUCAGAGGCGAUGAAGGACGUGCUAAUCUGCGAAAAGCGUCGGUAAGGUGAUAUGAACCGUUAUAGCCGGCGAUGUCCGAAUGGGGAAACCCAGUGCAAUUCGUUGCACUAUCGUUUGAUGAAUACAUAGUCAAACGAGGCGAACCGGGGGAACUGAAACAUCUAAGUACCCCGAGGAAAAGAAAUCAACCGAGAUUCCCCCAGUAGCGGCGAGCGAACGGGGAGCAGCCCGGAGUCUGAAUCAGCUUGUGUGUUAGUGGAAGCGUCUGGAAAGUCGCAGGGUACAGGGUGAUACUCCCGUACACUAAAACGCACAGGCUGUGAACUCGAAGAGUAGGGCGGGACACGUGGUAUCCUGUCUGAAUAUGGGGGGACCAUCCUCCAAGGCUAAAUACUCCUGACUGACCGAUAGUGAACCAGUACCGUGAGGGAAAGGCGAAAAGAACCCCGGCGAGGGGAGUGAAAAAGAACCUGAAACCGUGUACGUACAAGCAGUAGGAGCCUCUUUAUGGGGUGACUGCGUACCUUUUGUAUAAUGGGUCAGCGACUUAUAUUCUGUAGCAAGGUUAACCGUAUAGGGGAGCCGCAGGGAAACCGAGUCUUAACUGGGCGUUAAGUUGCAGGGUAUAGACCCGAAACCCGGUGAUCUAGCCAUGGGCAGGUUGAAGGUUGGGUAACACUAACUGGAGGACCGAACCGACUAAUGUUGAAAAAUUAGCGGAUGACUUGUGGCUGGGGGUGAAAGGCCAAUCAAACCGGGAGAUAGCUGGUUCUCCCCGAAAGCUAUUUAGGUAGCGCCUCGUGAACUCAUCUUCGGGGGUAGAGCACUGUUUCGGCUAGGGGGUCAUCCCGACUUACCAACCCGAUGCAAACUACGAAUACCGAAGAAUGUUAUCACGGGAGACACACGGCGGGUGCUAACGUCCGUCGUGAAGAGGGAAACAACCCAGACCGCCAGCUAAGGUCCCAAAGUCAUGGUUAAGUGGGAAACGAUGUGGGAAGGCCCAGACAGCCAGGAUGUUGGCUUAGAAGCAGCCAUCAUUUAAAGAAAGCGUAAUAGCUCACUGGUCGAGUCGGCCUGCGCGGAAGAUGUAACGGGGCUAAACCAUGCACCGAAGCUGCGGCAGCGACACUAUGUGUUGUUGGGUAGGGGAGCGUUCUGUAAGCCGUUGAAGGUGGCCUGUGAGGGUUGCUGGAGGUAUCAGAAGUGCGAAUGCUGACAUAAGUAACGAUAAUGCGGGUGAAAAACCCGCACGCCGGAAGACCAAGGGUUCCUGUCCAACGUUAAUCGGGGCAGGGUGAGUCGACCCCUAAGGCGAGGCCGAAAGGCGUAGUCGAUGGGAAACAGGUUAAUAUUCCUGUACUCGGUGUUACUGCGAAGGGGGGACGGAGAAGGCUAUGUUGGCCGGGCGACGGUUGUCCCGGUUUAAGCAUGUAGGCGGAUGUUCCAGGUAAAUCCGGAACGUUAUUAACGCUGAGGUGUGAUGACGAGGCACUACGGUGCUGAAGUGACAAAUGCCCUGCUUCCAGGAAAAGCCUCUAAGCAUCAGGUAACAUCAAAUCGUACCCCAAACCGACACAGGUGGUCAGGUAGAGAAUACCAAGGCGCUUGAGAGAACUCGGGUGAAGGAACUAGGCAAAAUGGUGCCGUAACUUCGGGAGAAGGCACGCUGAUAGGUAGGUGAAGUGGUUUACCCAUGGAGCUGAAAUCAGUCGAAGAUACCAGCUGGCUGCAACUGUUUAUUAAAAACACAGCACUGUGCAAACACGAAAGUGGACGUAUACGGUGUGACGCCUGCCCGGUGCCGGAAGGUUAAUUGAUGGGGUUAUCCGUAAGGAGAAGCUCUUGAUCGAAGCCCCGGUAAACGGCGGCCGUAACUAUAACGGUCCUAAGGUAGCGAAAUUCCUUGUCGGGUAAGUUCCGACCUGCACGAAUGGCGUAAUGAUGGCCAGGCUGUCUCCACCCGAGACUCAGUGAAAUUGAACUCGCUGUGAAGAUGCAGUGUACCCGCGGCAAGACGGAAAGACCCCGUGAACCUUUACUAUAGCUUGACACUGAACACUGGUCCUUGAUGUGUAGGAUAGGUGGGAGGCUUUGAAGUGUGGACGCCAGUCUGCAUGGAGCCAUCCUUGAAAUACCACCCUUUAAUGGCUGGUGUUCUAACGUGGGCCCGUUAUCCGGGUUGCGGACAGUGUCUGGUGGGUAGUUUGACUGGGGCGGUCUCCUCCUAAAGAGUAACGGAGGAGCACGAAGGUCAGCUAAUCCUGGUCGGACAUCAGGAGGUUAGUGCAAUGGCAUAAGCUGGCUUGACUGCGAGCGUGACGGCGCGAGCAGGUGCGAAAGCAGGUCAUAGUGAUCCGGUGGUUCUGAAUGGAAGGGCCAUCGCUCAACGGAUAAAAGGUACUCCGGGGAUAACAGGCUGAUACCGCCCAAGAGUUCAUAUCGACGGCGGUGUUUGGCACCUCGAUGUCGGCUCAUCACAUCCUGGGGCUGAAGUAGGUCCCAAGGGUAUGGCUGUUCGCCAUUUAAAGUGGUACGCGAGCUGGGUUUAGAACGUCGUGAGACAGUUCGGUCCCUAUCUGCCGUGGGCGCUGGAGAAUUGAGGGGGGCUGCUCCUAGUACGAGAGGACCGGAGUGGACGCAUCACUGGUGUUCGGGUUGUCAUGCCAAUGGCAUUGCCCGGUAGCUAAAUGCGGAAGAGAUAAGUGCUGAAAGCAUCUAAGCACGAAACUUGCCCCGAGAUGAGUUCUCCCUGACUCCUUGAGAGUCCUGAAGGAACGUUGAAGACGACGACGUUGAUAGGCCGGGUGUGUAAGCGCAGCGAUGCGUUGAGCUAACCGGUACUAAUGAACCGUGAGGCUUAACCUUACAACGCCGAAG
Molecule: ribosomal RNA, 2928 nt
Filed under: Klebsiella grimontii
Lineage: Bacteria; Pseudomonadati; Pseudomonadota; Gammaproteobacteria; Enterobacterales; Enterobacteriaceae
Description: 23S ribosomal RNA
Rfam family: Bacterial large subunit ribosomal RNA
Source: RNAcentral